CCUACGGGUGGUAGCAGUGGGGAAUAUUGGACAAUGGGGGCAACCCUGAUCCAGCCAUGCCGCGUGUGUGAAGAAGGCCCUCGGGUUGUAAAGCACUUUCAGUGAGGAAGAACGCCUGGUGGUUAAUACCCAUCAGGAAAGACAUCACUCACAGAAGAAGCACCGGCUAACUCCGUGCCAGCAGCCGCGGUAAUACGGAGGGUGCGAGCGUUAAUCGGAAUUACUGGGCGUAAAGCGCGCGUAGGUGGCUUGAUAAGCCGGUUGUGAAAGCCCCGGGCUCAACCUGGGAACGGCAUCCGGAACUGUCAAGCUAGAGUGCAGGAGAGGAAGGUAGAAGUCCCGGUGUAGCGGUGAAAUGCGUAGAGAUCGGGAGGAAUACCAGUGGCGAAGGCGGCCUUCUGGACUGACACUGACACUGAGGUGCGAAAGCGUGGGUAGCAAACAGGAUUAGAUACCCUUGUAGUC
Molecule: ribosomal RNA, 465 nt
Filed under: Vreelandella stevensii
Lineage: Bacteria; Pseudomonadati; Pseudomonadota; Gammaproteobacteria; Oceanospirillales; Halomonadaceae
Description: partial 16S ribosomal RNA
Rfam family: Bacterial small subunit ribosomal RNA
Source: RNAcentral